GAAAACUACUGCUAAAUCUAAGCCAAAACAGGGAAAGAAAUUAACAUCAACAUCAUUAGACAUGUAGAUCCAGGCAAGCCCACCACUAUGGCCAUCUGAUCUACAAAUGUGAGGAGACUGAAAAAAAAAAUUGAAAAAUUUGAGAAGAAGGCUACUGACAUGGGAGAGGGUUCCUUCAACUAUGCCUGGGUUUUGGAUAAGCUGAAAGCUGAAUGUGAGCACGGGAUCACCAUUGAUAACUCCAUGUGGAAAAUUGAGACCAGCCUCCCAGGGAUCCUAGCCUGCUCAUAGAAAACCAACUGCACACAUUUCACAGGCUCUCUGGUGAAGGGAUGCUCACUACAGGCAUAUGUUGCAGAAUGUCACUUCGUCCACCUCUCAGCUAUCAGAAUAAUGGGAAUGCCAUUCAAUUCAGCAAGGGCACAGCUACUAGAAGGCAAGACUGUAAGACCUUCCUCAGAGCCAUCUACUGAUUGGAGCACCUUCGAUGCUGAGAACCUUGUUUUAAAAAGCUGCCAAGAAGUCUGGAUGAUACAAGACACUAAAGUCCGGAAGAAAUAGUUUCUCUUCAACCCAGAUCUCCGCUGGAUUGAAGCUGUACAGACAGCUAGAAAUUUGCAUCUCUAUCACUCCUCUCUGAUGCCUUCUUCAAAAACUCUUGGACUCAUUGCCUCUGGCUGACUUCUUACAUUUCAGCUGGAACUUCAUUUUAGGAAAGACCAUCGUUUCUUAUGAACACCAAACUUUGUUCUUUAGGUGUAUGUGCCUUUUUACCUUUCCUGGUGAACGAUCUGUCAGUGACAGGAAGAGACUUCAUUUUCCCUCCAGCUACGUUAAAUCAUUAGGAGCAACUUCAAAUUUAGAAAACCCUGAUUCCUUACCAUUUUGAAAAUGAUUUAUUUUUUUCUGUGUGUUCU
This 917-nucleotide long non-coding RNA is filed under the name Canis lupus familiaris (dog). Its description in RNAcentral is "lncRNA (ENSCAFG00000046709.2)". Lineage: Eukaryota; Metazoa; Chordata; Mammalia; Carnivora; Canidae. The record is from RNAcentral.